AAGACUAUAGUUUCAGGGAUCAUUUCUAUAGCAUGUUACUAGAGAAGUUUCUCUGAUAGUGUAGAAGAGCACCCGAAGCCACGAGGAGGAGCCAGAGCGUCCUCUCCUGAGCGUGAAGCCGGCUCUAGGUGUCGCUUCUGCGGCUGCCUCUUGCCAUUGAUGAUCGUUCUCCCUUUUCUCCGAAAAGGGUAGAGGGAGAGGAUGCAGUCUGAGUGAU
Small nucleolar RNA from Suncus etruscus (white-toothed pygmy shrew), 217 nucleotides. RefSeq annotates it as small nucleolar RNA U3. The transcript has a single exon. The record is from RefSeq and is a predicted model, not a curated record. NCBI's taxonomy places the organism in Eukaryota, Metazoa, Chordata, Mammalia, Eulipotyphla, Soricidae.